CAACUCUCAACAACGGAUAUCUUGGCUCCUCGAAUGAUGAAGAACGCAGCGAAAUGCGAUACUUAGUGUGAAUUGCAGAAAUACGUGAAUCAUCAAGUCUUUGAACGCAAAUUGCGCUCGAGGCUUCGGCCAAGAGCAUGUCUGCCUCAGCGUCGGGUU
Molecule: ribosomal RNA, 159 nt
Filed under: Chlamydomonas zebra
Lineage: Eukaryota; Viridiplantae; Chlorophyta; Chlorophyceae; Chlamydomonadales; Chlamydomonadaceae
Description: 5.8S ribosomal RNA
Rfam family: 5.8S ribosomal RNA
About the family: 5.8S ribosomal RNA (5.8S rRNA) is a component of the large subunit of the eukaryotic ribosome. It is transcribed by RNA polymerase I as part of the 45S precursor that also contains 18S and 28S rRNA.
Source: RNAcentral